UGGGGAAUAUUGGACAAUGGGCGCAAGCCUGAUCCAGCAAUACCGCGUGUGUGAAGAAGGCCUGAGGGUUGUAAAGCACUUUCACUGGGGAGGAAAAAGGCCGGUCUAAUACGCCUGCCCUUGACAUUACCUAGAGAAGAAGCACCGGCUAACUCCGUGCCAGCAGCCGCGGUAAUACGGAGGGUGCGAGCGUUAAUCGGAAUUACUGGGCGUAAAGCGUGCGUAGGCGGCCCGUUAAGUCAGAUGUGAAAGCCCUGGGCUCAACCUGGGAACGGCAUUUGAAACUGGCGGGCUAGAGUUAGGUAGAGGGGGGCGGAAUUUCAGGUGUAGCGGUGAAAUGCGUAGAUAUCUGAAGGAACACCAGUGGCGAAGGCGGCUCCCUGGACCCAAACUGACGCUGAGGUACGAAAGCGUGGGUAGCAAACA
This 426-nucleotide ribosomal RNA is filed under the name uncultured Methylococcaceae bacterium. Its description in RNAcentral is "partial 16S ribosomal RNA". It matches the Rfam family "Bacterial small subunit ribosomal RNA", at positions 355 to 774 of the family's 1533-position model. Lineage: Bacteria; Pseudomonadati; Pseudomonadota; Gammaproteobacteria; Methylococcales; Methylococcaceae. The record is from RNAcentral.